Molecule: transfer RNA, 68 nt
Filed under: Chromodoris orientalis
Lineage: Eukaryota; Metazoa; Mollusca; Gastropoda; Nudibranchia; Chromodorididae
Description: tRNA-Asn
Source: RNAcentral
GGAGAGGAAGCUAUUGGAGCAUUUGACUGUUACUCAAAUUAUAGCACAACUAGGGUGUGCCCUCUCUA